UCUGUGUGUGUCUCAGAUCCAGAACCUAAAGCCUGUGUCUGCUUCAGAUGGACAGUAGUCCAAGGGUUUUCACUUCUAUUUGUGUCUCAGACUGAAUUUGCUGAUGAUCGACUGUCGCUGUUUUCACACAUUCAGCUCUGCUCAGUUCUUUGUUUCUAGAAUGUGUCCAUAUGGAGAGGAAAAGGCUGAACGUGGACAACAGCCAUUAAACUUGGGGUGGGAUUUUAGCAGAGGUAAAAGUGGGCGUGGCUACAGAUGUCCACACCUACUUUGGUGCUGAUUGAUCCGUGUUUAGGAAAAUAAG
Molecule: long non-coding RNA, 304 nt
Organism: Sphaeramia orbicularis (orbiculate cardinalfish)
Lineage: Eukaryota; Metazoa; Chordata; Actinopteri; Kurtiformes; Apogonidae
Exons: 5
Source: RefSeq, a predicted model, not a curated record